RNAcentral lists this ribosomal RNA (460 nucleotides) under uncultured bacterium. Its description in RNAcentral is "partial 16S ribosomal RNA". It matches the Rfam family "Bacterial small subunit ribosomal RNA", at positions 338 to 795 of the family's 1533-position model. The record is from RNAcentral.
CCUACGGGUGGCAGCAGUGAGGAAUAUUGGUCAAUGGGCGCGAGCCUGAACCAGCCAAGUAGCGUGAAGGAUGACUGCCCUACGGGUUGUAAACUUCUUUUAUAAAGGAAUAAAGUGAGCCACGUGUGCCUUUUUGUAUGUACUUUAUGAAUAAGGCUCGGUUAACUCCGUGCCAGCAGCCGCGGUAAUACGGAGGAUCCGAGCGUUAUCCGGAUUUAUUUGGUUUAAAGGGAGCGUAGAUGGGUUGUUAAGUCAGGUGGGAAAGUUUGCGGCUCAACCGUAAAAUUGCAAUUGAUACUGGCAUUCUUGAGUACAGGUGAGGUAGGCGGAAUUCGUGGUGUAGCGGUGAAAUGCUUAGAUAUCACGAAGAACUCCGAUUGCGAAGGCAGCUCACUAAACUGCCACUGACAUUGAUGCUCGAAAGUGUGGGUAUCAAACAGGAUUAGAUACCCCAGUAGUC